UACCAGCACCCCGAGUGGUCGGGACGAUUAUUGGGCCUAAAGCAUCCGUAGCCGGUUCUACAAGUCUUCCGUUAAAUCCACCUGCUUAACAGAUGGGCUGCGGAGGAUACUAUAGAGCUAGGAGGCGGGAGAGGCAAGCGGUACUUAGUGGGUAGGGGUAAAAUCCGUUGAUCCAUUGAAGACCACCAGUGGCGAAGGCGGCCUGCCAGAACGCACUCGACGGUGAGGGAUGAAAGCUGGGGGAGCAAACCGG
RNAcentral lists this ribosomal RNA (253 nucleotides) under uncultured bacterium. RNAcentral's name for it is "partial 16S ribosomal RNA". It matches the Rfam family "Archaeal small subunit ribosomal RNA", at positions 474 to 727 of the family's 1478-position model. The record is from RNAcentral.